GACAAGGUGGUUCAGUGGUGAAAUUCUUGCCUGCAAUGUAGGAGACUCAGGUUCGAUUCCUGGUCAAGGCA
RNAcentral lists this transfer RNA (71 nucleotides) under Loxodonta africana (African savanna elephant). It matches the Rfam family "tRNA". Rfam says of the family: Transfer RNA (tRNA) molecules are approximately 80 nucleotides in length. Their secondary structure includes four short double-helical elements and three loops (D, anti-codon, and T loops). Lineage: Eukaryota; Metazoa; Chordata; Mammalia; Proboscidea; Elephantidae. The record is from Rfam by way of RNAcentral.